Molecule: transfer RNA, 72 nt
Filed under: Amazona aestiva (blue-fronted amazon)
Lineage: Eukaryota; Metazoa; Chordata; Aves; Psittaciformes; Psittacidae
Description: tRNA-Lys
Rfam family: tRNA (bases 9-64)
About the family: Transfer RNA (tRNA) molecules are approximately 80 nucleotides in length. Their secondary structure includes four short double-helical elements and three loops (D, anti-codon, and T loops).
Source: RNAcentral
GAGCGGCUGCUCAGUCGGUAGAGCAUGGGACUCUUAAUCCCAGAGUCGUGGGUUNGGGCCCCAUGUUGGGAG